AGUGAAAAAGAACCUGAAACCGUGUACGUACAAGCAGUGGGAGCACAGGUUUACCUGUGUGACUGCGUACCUUUUGUAUAAUGGGUCAGCGACUUAUAUUCUGUAGCAAGGUUAACCGAAUAGGGGAUGUCCAUCCAUGGCUGCGGAGGGCGCAAUAAAAUCUGCUCCAGCCGCCGCCGCGAUAACGGCCUGCUUGCCGAGGUUGGCCAGCGUCGCAUCGUUAUCCACUCCGUGUUCGCACAACACGCCGCAGU
RNAcentral lists this ribosomal RNA (254 nucleotides) under Salmonella enterica subsp. enterica serovar Anatum. RNAcentral describes it as "partial 23S ribosomal RNA". It matches the Rfam family "Bacterial large subunit ribosomal RNA", at positions 537 to 701 of the family's 2925-position model. Lineage: Bacteria; Pseudomonadati; Pseudomonadota; Gammaproteobacteria; Enterobacterales; Enterobacteriaceae. The record is from RNAcentral.